CUCCCUUCCUCCCCCCUGAGGGGCGCUCUACUCACCACCAUCCCCUCCCCAGUUGCAACUGGACCCCAAAUUCCUGCCCCCCAAACUGCCAGGAGCUGGGUGACACCCAGGUCCCCCCGUUCCCCCCAUGGCUUGGACCUCCUGUGUGUCCCCUCAAGUCCCGUGUCCCCCCCCCCCCUCAGCCUGUCCCUGGGGGGCCACCCCGCACCCCCGCGAGGCCAGUGUCCCUGAUGGUGUCCCCGUGUCUCUUCCAGCCGUGUCCUGCCCGUGUGUCCCCGUGUCCCUCCGUCCCUCGCCAUGUUGGCCUGUGCAAAGUUCGUCUCCGCUCCCGCACUAGUGAGGAGGAGCUCGCGGGUGCUGUGCCAGCCCCUCUCUGCCUCUGUGCUGAGCAUCCCCGAGGCCCGGACGGAGCAGUUGCCGCCGGGGGCCCCCCGGGC
RNAcentral lists this long non-coding RNA (437 nucleotides) under Calidris pugnax (ruff). RNAcentral describes it as "lncRNA (ENSCPUG00000003381.1)". Lineage: Eukaryota; Metazoa; Chordata; Aves; Charadriiformes; Scolopacidae. The record is from RNAcentral.